UAUAAUUUAGUUUACAGGAACAUUAAAUUUUGAUUUUAAAAGAAACAGUGUGAUUCCGUUAAUUAUAA
Molecule: transfer RNA, 68 nt
Filed under: Kaylathalia klovstadi
Lineage: Eukaryota; Metazoa; Arthropoda; Collembola; Entomobryomorpha; Isotomidae
Description: tRNA-Gln
Source: RNAcentral